UGAGGGAUAUUGGUCAAUGGGGGCAACCCUGAACCAGCAACGCCGCGUGAGGGAAGACGGUUUUCGGAUUGUAAACCUCUGUCCUCUGUGAAGAUAAUGACGGUAACAGAGGAGGAAGCUCCGGCUAACUACGUGCCAGCAGCCGCGGUAAUACGUAGGGAGCGAGCGUUGUCCGGAUUUACUGGGUGUAAAGGGUGCGUAGGCGGCCCUGCAAGUCAGAAGUGAAAUCCAUGGGCUUAACCCGUGAACUGCUUUUGAAACUGCAGGACUUGAGUGAAGUAGAGGCAGGCGGAAUUCCCGGUGUAGCGGUGAAAUGCGUAGAGAUCGGGAGGAACACCAGUGGCGAAGGCGGCCUGCUGGGCUUUAACUGACGCUGAAGCACGAAAGCGUGGGUAGCAAACAGG
Molecule: ribosomal RNA, 404 nt
Filed under: uncultured bacterium
Lineage: Bacteria
Description: bacterial SSU rRNA
Rfam family: Bacterial small subunit ribosomal RNA
Source: RNAcentral